UAAUACGGGAGGUGCAAGCGUUGUUCGGAUUUACUAGGCGUAAAGAGUAUGUAGGUUGUUAUUUAAGUCAAAUGUGAAAUCUUUGGGCUCAACUCAAAAACUGCAUUUGAAACUGGAUGACUUGAGUGUAGAAGAGGAGAGUAGAAUUCCUGGUGGAGCGGUGAAAUGUGUAGAUAUCAGGAAGAAUAUCAGUGGCGAAGGCGACUCUCUGGUCUAUCACUGACACUGAGAUACGAAGGCGUGGGGAGCAAACAGGAUUAGAUACCCUGGUAGUCCACGCAGUAAACGAUGUGCAUUAGGUGUAGGAGGUAUCCAAUCCUUCUGUAUCGGAGCUAACGUAUUAAAUGCACCGCCUGGGGAGUACGGUCGCAAGGCUG
RNAcentral lists this ribosomal RNA (377 nucleotides) under uncultured bacterium. RNAcentral describes it as "bacterial SSU rRNA". It matches the Rfam family "Bacterial small subunit ribosomal RNA", at positions 521 to 896 of the family's 1533-position model. The record is from RNAcentral.